AGAGACAGCAGUAGCCGCGGUAAUACGUAGGGUGCAAGCGUUAAUCGGAAUUACUGGGCGUAAAGCGUGCGCAGGCGGCUCUAUAAGACAGAUGUGAAAUCCCCGGGCUCAACCUGGGAACUGCAUUUGUGACUGUAGAGCUGGAGUGCGGCAGAGGGGGAUGGAAUUCCGCGUGUAGCAGUGAAAUGCGUAGAUAUGCGGAGGAACACCGAUGGCGAAGGCAAUCCCCUGGGCCUGCACUGACGCUCAUGCACGAAAGCGUGGGGAGCAAACAGGAUUAGAUACCCCAGUAGUCCCUGUCUCUUAUAC
This 309-nucleotide ribosomal RNA is filed under the name uncultured bacterium. RNAcentral describes it as "partial 16S ribosomal RNA". It matches the Rfam family "Bacterial small subunit ribosomal RNA", at positions 504 to 807 of the family's 1533-position model. The record is from RNAcentral.